This 287-nucleotide long non-coding RNA is filed under the name Erythranthe guttata (spotted monkey flower). Its description in RNAcentral is "long non-coding RNA (EGUT_LNC001515)". Lineage: Eukaryota; Viridiplantae; Streptophyta; Magnoliopsida; Lamiales; Phrymaceae. The record is from RNAcentral.
UACGGAAAAGGUGUCACUGCAUCUAUUGUAUAUGGUGAUUUGCCUAGGAAAGGUAAAUAUUCUCACACGUAUAUGGGAAAUAAAAAUAAAUUUGAAGCAAUGAAGCAAAUACUUGAUCAGCAAGAUAAGCUUAUUAUGGAGCAGAGUAAACAAAUACAAGAGCUGAUAAAAAUGAACAAACAAAGAUUAGCACCAGAAGCUACCAAAGCUGUUUCAGUAUCUUCAUCUCAUGAUCAUUCAAUCUCUCGUCGUCCUUCAGUAUCAUCCUCUAGCAUGAUGCCUUUACG